AGUCAGCCUGUCCUUUGAAGCUUUGAAACCAGGCAUUGACUUCUCACAAGCUAUGAAAGUCCUAGGUGGCAUCUUCCAAUAUAAGGCUGUCUCGUCUACAUUAAAUAUCUAUUU
Molecule: microRNA precursor, 114 nt
Filed under: Pteropus vampyrus (large flying fox)
Lineage: Eukaryota; Metazoa; Chordata; Mammalia; Chiroptera; Pteropodidae
Description: miRNA (ENSPVAG00000027659.1)
Source: RNAcentral